GGAGGGGUGGCAGAGCGGUUGAAUGCACUGGUCUUGAAAACCAGCGAUGGUCUGUAGCCAUCCGAGAGUUCGAAUCUCUCCCCCUCCGCCA
Molecule: transfer RNA, 91 nt
Filed under: Gammaproteobacteria bacterium
Lineage: Bacteria; Pseudomonadati; Pseudomonadota; Gammaproteobacteria
Also listed under: 1 other name
Description: tRNA-Ser
Rfam family: tRNA
About the family: Transfer RNA (tRNA) molecules are approximately 80 nucleotides in length. Their secondary structure includes four short double-helical elements and three loops (D, anti-codon, and T loops). Further hydrogen bonds mediate the characteristic L-shaped molecular structure. tRNAs have two regions of fundamental functional importance: the anti-codon, which is responsible for specific mRNA codon recognition, and the 3' end, to which the tRNAs corresponding amino acid is attached (by aminoacyl-tRNA synthetases). tRNAs cope with the degeneracy of the genetic code in two manners: having more than one tRNA (with a specific anti-codon) for a particular amino acid; and 'wobble' base-pairing, i.e. permitting non-standard base-pairing at the 3rd anti-codon position.
Source: RNAcentral